AACGAACGCUGGCGGCAUGCCUAACACAUGCAAGUCGAACGAGAUCUUCGGGUCUAGUGGCGCACGGGUGCGUAACGCGUGGGAAUCUGCCCUUUGGUUCGGAAUAACAGUUGGAAACGACUGCUAAUACCGGAUGAUGACGAAAGUCCAAAGAUUUAUCGCCAGAGGAUGAGCCCGCGUAGGAUUAGCUAGUUGGUGUGGUAAAGGCGCACCAAGGCGACGAUCCUUAGCUGGUCUGAGAGGAUGAUCAGCCAAACUGGGACUGAGACACGGCCCAGACUCCUGCGGGAGGCGGCAGGGGGGAAGAUUGGACAAGGGGCGAAGGCCUGACCCAGCAAUGCCGCGUGGGUGAUGAAGGCCUUAGGGUUGUAACGCUCUUUUACCCGGGAUGAUAAUGACAGUACCGGGAGAAUAAGCCCCGGCUACCUCCGUGCCAGCCGCCGCAGUAA
This 449-nucleotide ribosomal RNA is filed under the name uncultured bacterium. RNAcentral describes it as "partial 16S ribosomal RNA". It matches the Rfam family "Bacterial small subunit ribosomal RNA", at positions 29 to 523 of the family's 1533-position model. The record is from RNAcentral.